CCUACGGGUGGCUGCAGUGGGGAAUAUUGGACAAUGGGCGAAAGCCUGAUCCAGCCAUGCCGCGUGUGUGAAGAAGGCCUUCGGGUUGUAAAGCACUUUCAGUGGGGAAGAAAGCCUUGGGGCUAAUACCCUCGAGGAAGGACAUCACCCACAGAAGAAGCACCGGCUAACUCCGUGCCAGCAGCCGCGGUAAUACGGAGGGUGCGAGCGUUAAUCGGAAUUACUGGGCGUAAAGCGCGCGUAGGCGGUCUGAUAAGCCGGUUGUGAAAGCCCCGGGCUCAACCUGGGAACGGCAUCCGGAACUGUCAGGCUAGAGUGCAGGAGAGGAAGGUAGAAUUCCCGGUGUAGCGGUGAAAUGCGUAGAGAUCGGGAGGAAUACCAGUGGCGAAGGCGGCCUUCUGGACUGACACUGACGCUGAGGUGCGAAAGCGUGGGUAGUAAACAGGAUUAGAUACCCGUGUAGUC
Molecule: ribosomal RNA, 465 nt
Filed under: Vreelandella stevensii
Lineage: Bacteria; Pseudomonadati; Pseudomonadota; Gammaproteobacteria; Oceanospirillales; Halomonadaceae
Description: partial 16S ribosomal RNA
Rfam family: Bacterial small subunit ribosomal RNA
Source: RNAcentral